This 503-nucleotide ribosomal RNA is filed under the name uncultured bacterium. RNAcentral's name for it is "partial 16S ribosomal RNA". It matches the Rfam family "Bacterial small subunit ribosomal RNA", at positions 28 to 507 of the family's 1533-position model. The record is from RNAcentral.
GACGAACGCUGGCGGCGUGCUUAACACAUGCCAGUCGAACGGUGAAGCGCUUUCCUUUUUGGUUGGUGUGGAUGAGUGGCGAACGGGUGAGUAACACGUGAGUAACCUGCCCCCUUCUUCUGGAUAACCGCAUGAAAGUGUGGCUAAUACGGGAUAUUCUGCGCCUGCUGCAUGGUGGGUGUGGGAAAGAUUGUGCCUUUGGGUGUUUUCGGUGGGGGAUGGGCUCGCGGCCUAUCAGCUUGUUGGUGGGGUGAUGGCCUACCAAGGCGGUGACGGGUAGCCGGCCUGAGAGGGUGGACGGUCACACUGGGACUGAGACACGGCCCAGACUCCUACGGGAGGCAGCAGUGGGGAAUAUUGCACAAUGGGCGCAAGCCUGAUGCAGCGACGCCGCGUGAGGGAGGGAGGCCUUCGGGUUGUGAACCUCUUUCGCCAGUGAAGCAGGCCUGCUCCUUGUGGGUGGGUUGACGGUAGCUGGAGAAGAAGCGCCGGCUAACUACGUG